This is a non-coding RNA of Poecilia reticulata (guppy), 2942 nucleotides long. NCBI's taxonomy places the organism in Eukaryota, Metazoa, Chordata, Actinopteri, Cyprinodontiformes, Poeciliidae. The record is from RefSeq and is a predicted model, not a curated record.
GAUCCAGUCAGACUUUGGAUCAGAGCCGAUCUCAGUGAAGGUUCUGAUGGACCAACAGAGACACUUCCUGGUCCUCUGGUCCAGUCUGCAGCCUCUUAUUGAUCACUAUUGAUUAUUGAUGACAGAAUGAAGAUCUGAAGGAACUGAAUCAUUUCUGCUGCCUGAGGAACCAGUUCAUGACUGGAACUGGAACUGGUUUGGAUCCAUCAGGGAGGAGAAGAGUCCAGUCUGACCAGAACCACCAUCAUCCUCCCCCAAAUCUCUGAACCUUUUGCUUCCAGUCCAGAAUCUGGAUCUUUAACUGUGGCUCCUACACCAAUCGAUUACAGAUCUUUAAAAAUCUGACCUGCUGGUUCCAAUUUUGGCCAAUACCAUUUUUUUUUAUCAGAAAUGUUGCUACAUAUGGGGAGAGAAUUGCCCUUUUCASACUGUAGGGUCUGGCUCGGUUCGGCCCGGCUCGGUUUGACCCGGUCCCAUUGGUGCCAUGGCCCUGGUCGUUUUGCRUUCAUCAGGAUACGUCACGUAAAUCGACCCGUUGCUAAGGCUACCGAGGCGAUCUCCCCAGCGACUGCAGAACAGUUUUCUUCUUGGGUCCCGUCCUGCUGUUUCUGUUUGCGCUCAUGAGCGAGGAAGGGAAACAUUGACCUUCACAUUUAACCAAAAAUAAUUCUCAUCUGAAUGUCGUCUGUGAGAUGGACUCGGCCGGCUGAACUACUGCUGGCACGCGGGAUUUCCCGCCAGAGGCAGAAAUAACUURGUUUACAUCCUGAACGACUUCUGAUCGGUUCAUUAGAGAAAUGUUAUUUACAUUUUCCAUUAAAUCUUUGGCUGAAGAGGCRAAUCUAUUCCCAGUGUAGAGUAAGAACAGAUUAUGACRGRAAUUUAUUGAUGCAGCAUAUUGAAAUGACAGCCAUGGAGAAAGUCCAGUUCUCCUCUGACCCAGAGAUCUGGUCUUUGUCCCGCCCCCACAGCCAAUGAACCAAUCAACAGCUAACUCCAAACCGGCCCUGUCUGGCCGGCCCAAUUGGAACCACAGCUCUCUGGGAUCUGAUUCUGACCCUGUUGGCUUCCCGUAGCUUUACAGUCUGAGGUCUGACGUUGUUCUGACUGAUCAGCUGUGUGCCGCCGGUCUGAGCCGGUCCUCAGAUGGACGAUGAGGAGGAUCUGCAGUGGUCGGUCCGGUGGUCUGAUAUCCGUCACUGAGCCGAUCAGCUGCUGCUGGACGUCCCUCCAUCCAACAUCUGAGGCUUCGUGACAUAAUGUGACACUUUGGGGCCUUUUACUGUCCAGCUGCUGCUCAGUGUGUCUGGUCACCCAGUGGACAUGUCCCACAAUGCACUGGGUAAAAACUCACUGAGUGUUGAUGCUGACUGACAGCAGGCUGGACUAAAAUCAUAGAGAAACAUUACAAAAUAUCAGCAGCAGCUCAUUUACAGUCAUUAACUCCACAUGGCAACAAUACAUAUUUAUACUUUGGUUCAGUAUAUUUUAUAUAUCUUUUAUAUCUUUUAUGUCUCAUUUUAUUCAUUUCAGGAAAAAUAAUAUUUCAGUAAUCUGGUUCUCUAUAGAUUAUUUUUACCAUUAAUCAAGUAAUCCUCUCUCUCUCUCACCUUCUUGCCUUUUGCUCUGAAACGGUUUCUGGGAGGAGAAAAGCAGAUGAAACCCUUUAAACUUCAGCGUCUUGCUGUUAGCGCUUAGCAACAGGUGGAAGUGAGAGGCUGCCCACCACAAAUGAUGACCUGGGCGAAACACCAUGUGAUAAAUAAUAUAAACAAUUUAACGAAGCUUCAAGUCGGGUCAAUUUUCCUCGAGGAAUUUUAAUAAUCGAGGUUCUGGGAUCAUUCGAGGAAUCGUUGCAUCCUAAUUUGUUGUAUGUUGCAUUUAUGUUAAUGUUUUAAAAAACAUAACUUUGAAUUUAAAACCUUUAAAACCUUUGAUCUGACUUAUUACCAAAAGGUCAUUAAAUAAUUUGGUCACUAACAGAAUUAUUCCAUAUUUAGUUACUGAGGCUCUGGACUCAGUUUCUAUGUUACCAAAUACAGUGUUCAUAUUCUGUGCUUGUAUAUCUAUAAUCAUCAUUUUUGCUCAUGUUUUUGAAUAUUUUCAUGUCUUGUGAAUGUUUUCGGCGCUUUGAGGCUGAAAUGAAUCCGUCUGGUUUCUGAGUUAAUCUGGAUGUUUGUUUCUGCUGAUCCUGUUUUUCUCUUUUCUCUGAACAUUCAGGAUGAAGAAAGUUUUAUUUUUGAUUUGACUCCAUUUACUGGAUGUUUCCUGAAUCUGCAGAAUCACCUUGACAAUCAUUUGAAUUAUUGAUCCAUCCUCAUUUUCAAUCAGCUGAUCUCUAAUGACAGAUGAACUGAUUGGUACUGAAGGUUAAACAAUAUUUAUUUAAAUAAAAAUAUCUGUUGCAGGAAUUCAUGACUAAACAGUUUUUAUAUUAAUUUGAUGUGUUUUCUAUGAUGUGACUUAAAAUAACAUCUGAUUUUCCUGAUAAAAGAACAAAUCAAAUUCCAGAUUUUAGUAGAUUUUUUGUCUCCCUUUUAUAAAAAAAUAGAAAUUGUUUUUCAGAAACUUUGUUUUAUUUACUUAUUUAUUUCAACCAUCCCUUCAGGGACUUGACCUGAAUUCAACGUCCCACUAAAACAUUCUGGUUCUGGUUCUGGUUCUGAUUGAACCGACUUCACUCUGAACUACAGAAACCAAAACGGAUCAGUGAUGGAAAAACAUCCAGAUUUUACAAAAAUUAAAUCCUCAUUAACAGAACAAUUUAUCACCCAGUCCUACUUUUUUCAGUCUUUCUCUGUAAAUGAGAGUUUUAGUUUUUAAUCUCAUUUCUGGGUGAAUUUAUUGUAUUUAUUUUUGCUGAGUUUUGAUAAUCAUGUCUGCUAAAAUGCCAAGAUGUGCUGACUAACAAUACAGUGUGUGAUAAUAAAUAGUUCAGAAAA